RNAcentral lists this long non-coding RNA (449 nucleotides) under Betta splendens (Siamese fighting fish). RNAcentral's name for it is "lncRNA (ENSBSLG00000022528.1)". Lineage: Eukaryota; Metazoa; Chordata; Actinopteri; Anabantiformes; Osphronemidae. The record is from RNAcentral.
AACGUUAUGAUGAGUGAAUUUUUCAGUCUUGUUUCACAACUUAAGGCAUUUUGGGAAAUUUUGCUCUAUCUAUUUCAGCACACAGGGAUUAGACCCAAGGAUGGCUGCAUCUCUCUUGGGAUAUUUUUCUGAUCCACAGUCCUUGGAGGAGAGAUUGGGUCCAGCACCGACCAUUUUAAAAGAACACCAAUUUUUUUACACUGCCAUCUGCACCGCGGCAGGAAAGGCCUGCAUUGUCUGUCAGUGCAAGCCCCUUGACAACAAUCCCUGUGUAGAGGCGUUGAUGACAAUACCAUUUGAACUUCCCACACUACGUUCUUUUAUGGUUUAAAGUUUUUGUCCAUGUGCCAAAAAAAACAUGAGCAUCAGAAACGGUCAGAAAAUGGUAAGAAACUCAAAGGAAAGCAGCAAAGAAGAAAGGACAAUAAAUUAAAGAACAACACCUUGCA